GACGAACGCUGGCGGCGUGCCUAAUACAUGCAAGUAGAACGCACAGGAUGCACCGUAGUUUACUACACCGUAUUCUGUGAGUUGCGAACGGGUGAGUAACGCGUAGGUAACCUGCCUGGUAGCGGGGGAUAACUAUUGGAAACGAUAGCUAAUACCGUAUAAGAACAUUUACUGCAUGGUAGAUGUUUAAAAGGUGCAAGAGCAUCACUACCAGAUGGACCUGCGUUGUAUUAGCUAGUUGGUGAGGUAACGGCUCACCAAGGCAACGAUACAUAGCCGACCUGAGAGGGUGAUCGGCCACACUGGGACUGAGACACGGCCCAGACUCCUACGGGAGGCAGCAGUAGGGAAUCUUCGGCAAUGGGGGGAACCCUGACCGAGCAACGCCGCGUGAGUGAAGAAGGUUUUCGGAUCGUAAAGCUCUGUUGUUAAGGACGAACGUGUGUGAGAGUGGAAAGUUCACACAGUGACGGUACUUAACCAGAAAGGGACGGCUAACUACGUGCCAGCAGCCGCGGUAAUACGUAGGUCCCGAGCGUUGUCCGGAUUUAUUGGGCGUAAAGCGAGCGCAGGCGGUUAGAUAAGUCUGAAGUGAAAGGCAGUGGCUCAACCAUUGUAGGCUUUGGAAACUGUUUAACUUGAGUGCAGAAGGGGAGAGUGGAAUUCCAUGUGUAGCGGUGAAAUGCGUAGAUAUAUGGAGGAACACCGGUGGCGAAAGCGGCUCUCUGGUCUGUAACUGACGCUGAGGCUCGAAAGCGUGGGGAGCGAACAGG
RNAcentral lists this ribosomal RNA (773 nucleotides) under uncultured Streptococcus sp. Its description in RNAcentral is "bacterial SSU rRNA". It matches the Rfam family "Bacterial small subunit ribosomal RNA", at positions 28 to 776 of the family's 1533-position model. The record is from RNAcentral. Lineage: Bacteria; Bacillati; Bacillota; Bacilli; Lactobacillales; Streptococcaceae.